AAGAAUUUAGUUAAAAUUAUAACAUAAGCUUGUCAUGUUUAAAUUAUUAAAAAUAUAAUAAUUCUUA
This 67-nucleotide transfer RNA is filed under the name Brundinia marina. RNAcentral describes it as "tRNA-Asp". Lineage: Eukaryota; Metazoa; Arthropoda; Insecta; Coleoptera; Staphylinidae. The record is from RNAcentral.